CAAGGAAUUUUCGGCAAUGGGCGCAAGCCUGACCGAGCAACGCCGCGUGCGGGAUGACGGCCUUCGGGUUGUAAACCGCUUUUCGGGGGGACGACUACGACGGUACCCCCGGAAGAAGCCCCGGCUAACUCUGUGCCAGCAGCCGCGGUAAGACAGAGGGGGCGAGCGUUGUCCGGAGUUACUGGGCGUAAAGCGCGCGCAGGCGGUGGUCUCAGUGUCGUGUGAAAGCCCCCGGCUCAACCGGGGGAG
Molecule: ribosomal RNA, 249 nt
Filed under: uncultured Roseiflexus sp.
Lineage: Bacteria; Bacillati; Chloroflexota; Chloroflexia; Chloroflexales; Roseiflexaceae
Description: partial 16S ribosomal RNA
Rfam family: Bacterial small subunit ribosomal RNA
Source: RNAcentral